This 96-nucleotide transfer RNA is filed under the name Actinoplanes siamensis. RNAcentral's name for it is "tRNA-Arg". The record is from RNAcentral. Lineage: Bacteria; Bacillati; Actinomycetota; Actinomycetes; Micromonosporales; Micromonosporaceae.
CCAGGUGCGGGUCGGCGGCCGGGGAUCACCGCGCUCCGGCCGCGGUCAGUCGCCCUCCUUGACCGCGCCCGGCGCGAACGUGUCGCACCGCGUCGG